This 2114-nucleotide ribosomal RNA is filed under the name metagenome. Its description in RNAcentral is "bacterial LSU rRNA". It matches the Rfam family "Bacterial large subunit ribosomal RNA", at positions 508 to 2643 of the family's 2925-position model. The record is from RNAcentral.
GGAAAGGUGAAAAGAACCCCGAACAGGGGAGUGAAAUAGAACCUGAAACCAUACGCUUACAACCGGUCGGAGCAGCUUCGUGCUGUGACGGCGUGCCUAUUGAAUAAUGAGCCUACGAGUUACUAAUCACUAGCGAGGUUAAGUGCAAGGAUGCACGGAGCCGAAGCGAAAGCGAGUCUGAACAGGGCGUUUAGUUAGUGGUUGUAGACGCGAAACCUUGCGAUCUACCCUUGAGCAGGUUGAAGGUUGGGUAAAACCAACUGGAGGACCGAACGAAUAAGCGUUGAAAAGCUUCUCGAUGACUUGAGGGUAGGGGUGAAAGGCUAAUCAAGCUGGGAAAUAGCUCGUACUCCCCGAAAUGCCUUUUGGGGCAGCGUUGUAAUAAAGAGUCUACUGGAGGUAGAGCUACUGAUUGGAUGCGGGGGCUUCACCGCCUACCAAAUCCUGACAAACUCCGAAUGCCAGUAGUAUGAUUUACAGCAGUGAGUGACUGGGUGCUAAUGUCCAGUCGCAAAAGAGGAACAACUCAGACCAGCAACUAAGGUCCCGAAGAAUAUGCUAAGUUGAUCUAACGAUGUUUUGUUGCAGAGACAGCUAGGAUGUUAGCUUGGAAGCAGCUAUUCAUUCAAAGAGUGCGUAACAGCUCACUAGUCGAGCGACAGAGCGUGGAUAAUAAACGGGCAUCAAGCAUAUCACCGAAGUUCUGGGCGCGAGAGCGCGGUAGGGGAGCAUUCCAUUCAGCGUCGAAGCAGUUUCGUGAGGAAUUGUGGAGCGUAUGGAAAAGCAAAUGUAGGCAUGAGUAACGAUAAUGCGGGAGAGUAACCCGCACACCGCAAGACCAAGGUUUCCUGAUCAACGCUAAUCGGAUCAGGGUUAGUCGGGUCCUAAGGGUAAGCCGAACGGCGAUCUCGAUGGAUAAUCGGUUAAUAUUCCGAUACUAACAUAUACCUCGAUGGAGAGACGAAGGAACGUAAGUGCCGCCACCUGACGGAAUAGGUGGUUAAAGGGCGUAGAUAUAGGGGCAGAUUAAGAGUUAGUCCUUGCUGAAACCUGACAGUACAGAGAGCCUACGGGCAAUUUGAUAGAGCACCCAAGUCGACUUCCGAGAAAAUCUUCUAAGUUAUAGUAUAUGUUACCCGUACCGUAAACCGACACAGGUGGUCGAGGAGAGUAUCCUAAGGUGCUCGAGUGAAUCACGGUUAAGGAACUAGGCAAAUUAACCCCGUAACUUCGGGAAAAGGGGUCCCUAUGAAAGUAGGGCGCAGCGAAGAGGUCCAGGCGACUGUUUAUCAAAAACACAGGGCUCUGCAAAUUCGAAAGAAGACGUAUAGGGCCUGACACCUGCCCGGUGCUGGAAGGUUAAGAGGGGAUGUCAUCGCAAGAGAAGCAUUGAAUCGAAGCCCCAGUAAACGGCGGCCGUAACUAUAACGGUCCUAAGGUAGCGAAAUUCCUUGUCGGGUAAGUUCCGACCUGCACGAAUGGUGUAACGAUCUGGACACUGUCUCAACCGUGAGCUCGGUGAAAUUGUAGUCCCGGUGAUGAUGCCGGGUACCCGCAACGGGACGAAAAGACCCCGUGAACCUUUACUAUAGCUUAACGCUGAAUUUGGGUACACAAUGUGUAGGAUAGGCCGGAGGCUUUGAAGCGGGCACGCCAGUGUUCGUGGAGCCGACGUUGAAAUACGGCCCUUUGUGUAUUUGAGUUCUAACCCUGCGAAGGGGACACCGUUUGGUGGGUAGUUUGACUGGGGUGGUCGCCUCCAAAAGCGUAACGGAGGCUUCCCAAGGUACCCUCAGCACGAAUGGUAACCGUGCGCGGAGUGCAAUAGCAUAAGGGUGCUUGACUGUGAGACAUACAAGUCGACCAGGUACGAAAGUAGGGUAUAGUGAUCCGGUGGUUCUGCGUGGACUGGCCAUCGCUCAAAGGAUAAAAGGUACUCCGGGGAUAACAGGCUGAUCGCCGCCAAGAGCUCAUAUCGACGCGGCGGUUUGGCACCUCGAUGUCGGCUCGUCACAUCCUGGGGCUGGAGAAGGUCCCAAGGGUUGGGCUGUUCGCCCAUUAAAGUGGCACGCGAGCUGGGUUCAGAACGUCGUGAGACAGUUCGGUCUCUAUCU